UUUAUCUGUUCUUAUCAGCCUGUCCAGCUACUUAGGUCAUUAAGUCAAACACUUAAAGAGCCCUUGAGCUAACUAGGAUUGCAAUGCAUUGUGGGCUGCAAUAAAAUGCAGCAAGACAACCCUAAAAAAAAAAAAAUCACCUAAAGCCCCUACUCAACAAGCAUAAGCAAAGUCCGGGAAGAUAGUGACCCCAUAGUACUCAGCCUCUGAGGAACCGGGGGAGGGAGCUGCGCACUAGGGGAUAAAUUGCUUGUUAAAACUGUACUGGUGGGAGGCUGAGGCAGGAGAAUCACUUGAACCCAGGAGGCGGAAGUUGCAGUGAGCUGAGAUCGUGCCACUGCACUCAAGCCUGGGUGACAGAGCAAGACUCUGUCUCCAAAAGCAAACAAACAAACAAACAAAACUAUACUGGGCGUGCCUGCCUAUCAGACACCCAAUCUUGCAAGACCACCAUUAAAAGUCUCACUUUUGCUGUUCUCCGAGUCUCUGAAUCCAUUCUUUGGGUUUGGAAGGGUGAGUUUGUUUUUCACAAUCUGGUGGCCAUACGGGGAUCUCUGUGCCUGCAUGGAGAGGGGAGACGUGCCCCACUUGAUUUAUGUGGCCCGCUCUGUCUGGAUGUCCCGGCUCCCCACAGAAGCCACAGACAAACCGGAGACCAUGAUUCAGGAGAUAACAAAAGUGACACAGGAAGAAAAGCAGGCACCGCGGCAACCAGACAACCUCGUGCACGAACCACGGUGGGAAAAUGGGACUGUCACCACUUCCAGCCUGGCGACUUGGUGCUAAUUAAGACUUGGAAGGAAGACAAUCUCCACCCAAGCUGGGAAGGUUCCUAUCAAGUGCUCGUGAUCACUGAGACAGCCGUAGGAACAGCUGAACGGGGUGGACACUCACACUCGGGUCAAGAGACUGGUAAAAGAAACCCCAGAAGGAAGGGAAAAAGAAACUUUGCUCUGGUGGAGGAAACAAACAUGGACACAUUGUGAGAGUUCCAGGAAGUGGCCACUUGGAGGUGGUAUCAAAGUGCUGUGGGAAUCCACUUGGGAUUGCUGGAGGAGAAGCCAGUUGCCAUAUUGUGAGGAUGCUCAAGCAACCUUAUGAAGAGGUCUACAUGGUGAAGAACUAAGGCCUACUAUCAAAAACAAACACUAAUUUGCCAGACAUGUGAAUAAUCAGCUUCUGAUAACUGUAGAGAAAAGUAUGGGCAGAAAGGAGAAAGUAAGCCAAGAGGGGAGCUGGAAGUCAGGACCUACUGCCUUGGAAAGCCAUCGUGCUGUGAGGACUCUUCAUCAUUCCUCAAGGUACUUCUGCUUCCUUCCCUUACCUCCCACUACCUCCUAGGCACUCCACUGAACCUGCCCACCUCCACUCCUGCCAUCUCUGCCCACCUCUACUCCAAGCAUCUGGGCAUCCACACUCAGUUCACGUCAGAUCUGGGUGUAAUGAGUUUGAAGUCAGUUUUCAAAGUUGUAUUAAUAGAAUCUUUCUUUGGCCACCCAGGUUUUGGAGAAUUUGGUCAUCCUUCCACUUUAUGGACUGUGAAUUAUCUUGUGACCAAUGAUUUCCUCUUCUUCCCACCUAGGUGUUACUUCACUUACCAACAAUUCCCCAAUUCCCCAAAGUGGAAGGAAGGAGACAAACUUGUACCUUUGACUCAUUUUUCAGAAACUAUGGUGUAAAGGUCUCUGGGAAACUGGGUGAAACUAAAGGGCCAUAUGAUAUUGUUUUCAUUUAUUUUUAUUUUUUAACCUGGAAAAUGUGAAAUGUGUAGAUGCAAUGCCAUAUGAUGUUGAGGAAUUAUUUGUUUUAAAUUAUCUUUCCUCCUUUAUGUCCUGGGCAAAUAUUAAUUAGUUGGUUAUUUGUAACCAUCAGAAAGGAUCCUACUGAUGGCAUGACUCCUUUGCCAAACUUCUUAUCAAAAAUAAGGACUCUGGAACGUUAUGAAAAUAAGAGGUCUAUGGCCAUACCACCCUGAAAACACGCAAUCUUGUCUGAUCUUGGAAGCUAAGCAGGGUUGUGCCUGGUUAGUAUUUGGGUGGGCUAUAGGCUUCUGGCAUCCCAUUC
This 2064-nucleotide long non-coding RNA is filed under the name Homo sapiens (human). Lineage: Eukaryota; Metazoa; Chordata; Mammalia; Primates; Hominidae. The record is from RNAcentral.